AUCAGAGAACCAAUAACUGCGGAUUCGGUUUUAAUGGGUAUUGUAAUUGUGGAGUGGCGGCAAGAGAAAAUAACGACGUGUUCAUUUUGGACAUAUGCAAAGAUGCACAUAUCCAAAAAAUUAUACGAGGCCAUGAAGUUGUACCGAACAUAUGGUAUCGAGCUGUAGACGACGAUGCAGAAAGUUUUCCGGUUCCUGACACACAUUACAUUAAACACCCAGGAGGAAAAAGGUUUACGAUUCAAUUUUCUUCCGGAGCGCGGGUAGUCAUAGCUAUAUUCAGUAGAAGAAUUACUUACCUCGAUCUACGUGUCCACGUGCCGUCAUACUUCAGACAACAGGCAACCAAAGUUAGUGGGCUUUGUGGGAACUUAAAUGGCGACAUAAGAGACGAUACGCCGACUUUUUUGCCUAACAUCGGCUCCAGUGCUACCUACUUUGACCCCAACGUCCCUAUAACGACUCCGCCAUCACACGUAGGAAGUAUUAUCAAAG
Molecule: long non-coding RNA, 495 nt
Organism: Lingula anatina
Lineage: Eukaryota; Metazoa; Brachiopoda; Lingulata; Lingulida; Lingulidae
Source: RefSeq, a predicted model, not a curated record